This 446-nucleotide ribosomal RNA is filed under the name uncultured bacterium. RNAcentral describes it as "partial 16S ribosomal RNA". It matches the Rfam family "Bacterial small subunit ribosomal RNA", at positions 338 to 795 of the family's 1533-position model. The record is from RNAcentral.
CCUACGGGUGGCAGCAGUCGAGAAUCUUUCACAAUGGUGGAAACCCUGAUCGUGCGACGCCGCGUGGGGGAAUGAAGGUCUUCGGAUUGUAAACCCCUGUCAUGUGGGAGCAAAUUAAAGAGAUAGUACCACAAGCAGAAGAGCCGGCUAACUCUGUGCCAGCAACCGCGGUCAAGCAGCGGUCGCAAGCGUUGUUCGGCAUCACUGGGCGUAAAGGGUGCGUAGGCUGUUUCGUAAGUCGGGGGUGAAAGGCGCGGGCUCAACCCGCGGACGGCACAUGAUACUGCGAGACUAGAGUAGUGGAGAGGUAAGCGGAAUGCGCGGUGUAGCAGUGAAAUGCGUAGAUAUCGAGAGGAACACUCGUUGCGAAGGCGGGUUCCUGGACACGAACUGACGCUGAGGCACGAAGGCCAGGGGAGCGAAAGGGAUUAGAUACCCUUGUAGUC